This 406-nucleotide ribosomal RNA is filed under the name uncultured bacterium. RNAcentral describes it as "partial 16S ribosomal RNA". It matches the Rfam family "Bacterial small subunit ribosomal RNA", at positions 30 to 526 of the family's 1533-position model. The record is from RNAcentral.
AUUGAACGCUGGCGGCAGGCCUAACACAUGCAAGUCGAGCGAGCGGCGGACGGGUGAGUAAUGUCUGGGAACCUGCCUGAUGGAGGGGGAUAACUACUGGAAACGGUAGCUAAUACCGCAUACCAUCGGAUGAGCCCAGAUGGGAUUGGCUAGUAGGUGGGGUAACGGCUCACCUAGGCGACGAUCCCUAGCUGGUCUGAGAGGAUGAACAGCCACACUGGAACGUAGACACGUUCCAGACUCCUACGGUAGGCAGCAGUGGGGAAUAUUGCACAAUGGGCGCAAGCCUGAUGCAGCCAUGCCGAGUGUAUGAAGAAGGCCUUAGGGUUGUAAAGUACUUUCAGCGGGGAGGCGUUACCCGCAGAAGAAGCACCGGCUAACUCCGUGCCAGCAGCCGCGGUAAUUC